AGCAGCCGCGGUAAUUCCAGCUCCAAUAGCGUAUAUUAAAGUUGUUGCAGUUAAAAAGCUCGUAGUUGAAUUUCGGGAUCAAAUUGUUGGUCGUGCCUCGGUACGCACUGGUAUUAUUGGUUCCUACCUUCUGAAGAACCGCGAUGUCAUUAAUUUGGUGUCGUGGGGAAUCAGGACUGUUACUUUGAAAAAAUUAGAGUGUUUGAAGCAGGCUUACGCUUGAAUACAUUAGCAUGGAAUAAUGAAAUAGGACGUUUGAUUCUAUUUUGUUGGUUUUCUAGGAUUGACGUAAUGAUUAAUAGGGAUAGUUGGGGGCAUUAGUAUUCAAUUGUCAGAGGUGAAAUUCUUGGAUUUUAUUGAAGACUAACUACUGCGAAAAGCAUUUGCCAAGGAUG
RNAcentral lists this ribosomal RNA (395 nucleotides) under uncultured Glomus. RNAcentral's name for it is "SSU rRNA". It matches the Rfam family "Eukaryotic small subunit ribosomal RNA", at positions 569 to 966 of the family's 1831-position model. Lineage: Eukaryota; Fungi; Glomeromycota; Glomeromycetes; Glomerales; Glomeraceae. The record is from RNAcentral.